This 377-nucleotide ribosomal RNA is filed under the name Delias hyparete (painted jezebel). Its description in RNAcentral is "partial 12S ribosomal RNA". The record is from RNAcentral. Lineage: Eukaryota; Metazoa; Arthropoda; Insecta; Lepidoptera; Pieridae.
GGGAGUGUAAACUUAGGAUUAGAUACCCUAUUAUAGAAAAAUUAAUUUAAAUAUGUUAAAAUAGUAAAUAAUUUUAUAUUGAAACUUAAAUAAUUUGGCGGUAUUUUAGUUCAUUUAGAGGAAUCUGUCUAGUAAUUGAUAAUCCACGAAUAAUUAUAUUUAAUUUAAAAUUUUAUAUAUCGUUGUUAAAAAAAUAUUUUUUAAAGAUAAUAAUAUUUAAAAAUUUAUAAUAAAAAUUAAUUCAGAUCAAGAUGUAGAUAAUAAUUAAAAUUAAGAUGGAUUACAAUAUAAAAAUAUAAAUGGAAUUUAAUUUUGGAAUAAUUGAAAGAAAGUGGAUUUAAAUGUAAUUUUAAAUAAUGCGUUCUGCGCGGUCCCGA